This 178-nucleotide non-coding RNA is filed under the name Salmo salar (Atlantic salmon). Its description in RNAcentral is "Eukaryotic large subunit ribosomal RNA". It matches the Rfam family "Eukaryotic large subunit ribosomal RNA", at positions 1640 to 1823 of the family's 3401-position model. The record is from Rfam by way of RNAcentral. Lineage: Eukaryota; Metazoa; Chordata; Actinopteri; Salmoniformes; Salmonidae.
UGAGGUAACGCAACUGAUCCCGAAGAAGCUGGCUGGAUCCCCGGGGAGAGUUCCAUUUUCUUUGUGAAGGACAGGGCGGCCUGGAAUGGGCCGAGAGAGGGGCCCAAGCCCUGGAAAGCGUUGCGGUUUCGGCGGCGUCCGGUGAGCUUUCCCUGGCCCUUGAAAAUCCAGGGGAGAG